Molecule: long non-coding RNA, 2604 nt
Organism: Lytechinus pictus (painted urchin)
Lineage: Eukaryota; Metazoa; Echinodermata; Echinoidea; Temnopleuroida; Toxopneustidae
Exons: 2
Source: RefSeq, a predicted model, not a curated record
UACACAUGCGUCGGCUUUCAAAGCCGGCCCCGGAGGCGGCCUCACGCCUGCAAUUUGAAGCCGCCUCAAAAUCAUCAAACCCCUGUUACACAUAGUCUCGGGCCCGCAAUUUUGCGUCUACACAUAGGCCGGCCUCACGUCGCCUUUUCACGAGCUGACGUUGGGGCGCACUUCAUGUAAACAAACGCUUAAUAUUUUCGCGCGGUUUGCAGGUCUUUUUAAUUGCAUUGGAUCUCAUCGACAUCGCGACCGAUCCGUACACAUAUCUUACCUCCAUAUUUUGUUUAUAUAAUUGCAUUAUGAAGGUUAAGAAUAUCGUAACUAUUAUUUCUGAUCGAAGGAGGGAAUUUCGACGUGCUCAAAAAAGGCGAUUCCGGGAGUUUGAAGCACGUCGUCGGCGAGUACGAAAUCUGACGAUGGAGGUUCGGAUAAGGAGGAAAACGCAUCAUCACCCGUUGAGGAGGAGCCGUCAUCACCAGUUGAAGAGGAGGAUGGUGCAGAGGCUGACGAUGAUGAAGAUGAUGAAUAGAAUCCGAGUUCCUGAUGUCAAUGGCAUAUCUGGGGGACAAGGGAUUCGUCAUGUGUGCAAGGAGGCCACUUUCAAGAGGGGAGGGGGUGAAGGGAUGAAAACUUGAAAAUAAAAAACACUAUGGCCCGAAUUCACAAAGGUGGUUUUGUGAACCCGCGGUUGAAUCCAUGGUUAAUGCAGAUUUCCUGUAUAAAUUACGCUUAUUUACCGCGUAAAUUAAAAAAUGUCCAAUGCUGAUGUGCGCUUUUGUCACAGUGCGCCAAAUUGACGCCUGUUGCCGUGGUUAAGUACGCUAUCUUAUGAGUCUACUGCUUGAAGAGUGGACUCAUGAAUAAAAUAGCGUAGAUAACCACGGCAACAGGCCUCAAUUUGGCGCACUGUGACAAAAGCGCGCAUCAGCAUUGGACAUUUUUUAAUAUACGCGGUAAAUAAGCAUAAUUUAUACUGGAUAUCUGCAUAAACCAUGGGUUCAACCGAUGGUUUUAAAAACCACCUUUGUGAAUUCGGGCCUAUGAAUUUCAGUCUGAUUAUCAACAAAGGAGCAGUCCCGCCGCAACCACUUCAGCUCCAAAGUUCUAGAACUUUGGAGCUGGAACUGGGCAUGAUUGCAGACCCUUUUCCCAGAUGCGCCAUUGCCUGAUAUCAUGUUUUCUUACACCUAUUCACUUUGGUGCAUGAGCAAAAAACUUGACUGGUUGAGCCGACCAUCAAUCUUUGGUUGGCUCUUUAGUACAAAACAUUGGAUAUUCCAUUGGUCUGCUAUUAAUGGAUGACAGCAUCACAUGGAAUGACAGUCAUUCAUUACAUUACCGUGCCAUGUUGGAUAAUCCUCAGACAAGCUUUCCAUGAUGUAUGCAAAAUUAUGCCAUUGAGUCAGUGUAUAAUUGUGAUAAGCUUAACUCGGUGUCCAAAAUGUAUUUGAGAUAUGUUGUAAGAAAAAUACUUGAAGUGAGUGUAAUUGUCGAUCACUUCAUGGUACAUAACUUUCCACUACAUGUAUUUAUUUGUCAAGGUUUUCUGUCGGUGCUAUGCUGGGCAAUGAUGUUAGCUCACAUAGCUUGUUUGUUUAUAUUGUUUGAAUCACUAUGAAUUCAGACACAAGAACGUGAGAUUUGAUUGGUUUCAUGGAAUGUUAGAUAUAAAAAAUUCAAUAAUGUCGAUUGGAUUGCCUAUAAAUGUACCAUUCAGGCUUUCAUAAAUCAUAGAAAUGUGAUUUCUUGCGAGAUAUACAAUCAUUUUUCCCUGUAUUUAAUUGGUCACAUUAGAAGUUAAUGCCCCUGAUCAUGCUGUUUGUUGGUCCAUGUAUGUUCACCAUUUGAUCUUUACAAAUACUAGAGGAAACAAAAAUUGCUCGAUCAUCCAAACAUUGUGAAUUUUGGUUUAAUGAUCAUUGCCUAAUUGCCUCACAGCCUUCAUUUGAGCCCUGAGUGUUCAUGUUAUCAUGAGAGGAGUAGUUCAUUCCAGGAAGUUUGAAUGUGAGGGUGUAAAAAAACCCUGAUUUGUUGAGUUUUGGACAAACAGAAAGAUGUAACUCACUCUUAAGGGAUUUUGAGAUUUUUGCACAAAAGCAACUUGUUAUAGUACUACAGCAUACCUAUAAAAUUCAUAUUACCUGUAAAAUAAAUAACACUUAAUCACUCCAGCUGGAAAGACCACAGUGUGAAACACAAUAGGAAGUGAUCAUCUCCACACUGUUCAAACUUUGUGUAUAUGAAUCUCAUUCACUGAGUCCAUUAUGUGAACACACUGUAAAUUUCACAGUAUGAAAUUCAAAAAUCAUCUUUACAAAGAGCAUUUUCACAGUGUGAAACUGUGAAUGACUACUUCAUGUAGUUGACUACCGUAUGUGACCACACGAGGAACACACUUUGUUACACUUUGUUGUUUUGGCAUGUACAUUAUCAGUAGCUUGGGAGAAAAUUAUGAAACAUUUCGAUCGCUGAGUUAACGCCUUAAUUCUGUUUGUAAAUCCUGGUUAUAUUAUUGAAGCUCAAUGUAUCAAUGUGUGCAGUGGCACGAAGUGACCGACUGUUGCAAAUAUAGAUUUGUUUUGUACAAAGAAAGUAAAACGAGAA